GAUGAACGCUGGCGGCGUGCCUAAUACAUGCAAGUCGAGCGAACAGAUGAGGAGCUUGCUCCUCUGACGUUAGCGGCGGACGGGUGAGUAACACGUGGAUAACCUACCUAUAAGACUGGGAUAACUUCGGGAAACCGGAGCUAAUACCGGAUAAUAUAUUGAACCGCAUGGUUCAAUAGUGAAAGACGGUUUUGCUGUCACUUAUAGAUGGAUCCGCGCCGCAUUAGCUAGUUGGUAAGGUAACGGCUUACCAAGGCAACGAUGCGUAGCCGACCUGUGAGGGUGAUCGGCCACACUGGAACUGGGACACGGUCCAGACUCCUACGGGAGGAAGCAGUAGGGAAUCUUCCGCAAUGGGCGAAAGCCUGACGGAGCAACGCCGCGUGAGUGAUGAAGGUCUUCGGAUCGUAAAACUCUGUUAUUAGGGAAGAACAAAUGUGUAAGUAACUAUGCACGUCUUGACGGUACCUAAUCAGAAAGCCACGGCUAACUACGUG
This 497-nucleotide ribosomal RNA is filed under the name uncultured bacterium. RNAcentral's name for it is "partial 16S ribosomal RNA". It matches the Rfam family "Bacterial small subunit ribosomal RNA", at positions 28 to 507 of the family's 1533-position model. The record is from RNAcentral.